Molecule: ribosomal RNA, 355 nt
Filed under: uncultured bacterium
Lineage: Bacteria
Description: bacterial SSU rRNA
Rfam family: Bacterial small subunit ribosomal RNA
Source: RNAcentral
AAUCAACGCUGGCGGCGUGCCUCAGACAUGCAAGUCGAACGAGAACCUCCCUUCGGGGAGGAGACAGUGGCGCACGGGUGAGUAACACGUGGGUAAUUUACCUUUGGGUGGGGAACAACAGCCGGAAACGGCUGCUAAUACCGCAUAAUGCAGCGGCUCGACAUCGAGACAGUUGUUAAAGCGGGGGAGUCGCAAGACCUCGCGCCUGAAGAGAAGCCUGCGGCGGAUUAGCUAGUUGGUAGGGUAAUGGCCUACCAAGGCGACGAUCUGUAACCGGCCUGAGAGGGCGGUCGGUCACACUGACACUGACAUACGGGUCAGACUCCUACGGGAGGCAGCAGUCGGGAAUUUUGGG